Long non-coding RNA from Pseudophryne corroboree (corroboree frog), 400 nucleotides. RefSeq lists it as uncharacterized. The record is from RefSeq and is a predicted model, not a curated record. The transcript has 5 exons. Lineage: Eukaryota; Metazoa; Chordata; Amphibia; Anura; Myobatrachidae.
UCCACACCCAUGGUUGCAGGUUGGGAGAUCCUUUAUGAUACAACUGUGGGUCCUUCUGGAAGUUCCAGUGUUUUAUAAUAAUUAUCUUUACUCUGGACAUACCUUUUGAUGCUUCCGUAUAUUCUUAUAAAAAUUUUAAUCCAGUGUACUGAAUCAUUUCAUGCGUCUAGGUCGCUUUUUAAACAUCCUUAUUGCAGAACCAUUGAUGUAAUAUUUUGAUCCCAAUAAUUUUUUUGCUACCCCUGAUGAAGUCAAACAGACAAAACGCGUUGGGUUUAUCAGCUAUAAAUCAGUAAUCCAGUUGAUGAUAACACUCCCUAGUGCCAAGUUCACACCUUGUUAAGGUGAGGGAGUUCGUACAUCUAUAUCACCUACUGGACAUUUAUGGAAUCACCAAAAA